GUUCCUGUCCAACGUUAAUCGGGGCAGGGUGAGUCGACCCCUAAGGCGAGGCCGAAAGGCGUAGUCGAUGGGAAACAGGUUAAUAUUCCUGUACUUGGUGUUACUGCGAAGGGGGGACGGAGAAGGCUAUGUUGGCCGGGCGACGGUUGUCCCGGUUUAAGCGUGUAGGCUGGUUUUCCAGGCAAAUCCGGAAAACUAAGGCUGAGGCGUGAUGACGAGGCACUACGGUGCUGAAGCAACAAAUGCCCUGCUUCCAGGAAAAGCCUCUAAGCAUCAGGUAACAUCAAAUCGUACCCCAAACCGACACAGGUGGUCAGGUAGAGAAUACCAAGGCGCUUGAGAGAACUCGGGUGAAGGAACUAGGCAAAAUGGUGCCGUAACUUCGGGAGAAGGCACGCUGAUACGUAGGUGAAGUCCCUUGCGGAUGGAGCUGAAAUCAGUCGAAGAUACCAGCUGGCUGCAACUGUUUAUUAAAAACACAGCACUGUGCAAACACGAAAGUGGACGUAUACGGUGUGACG
This 521-nucleotide ribosomal RNA is filed under the name Escherichia sp. E5028. RNAcentral's name for it is "partial 23S ribosomal RNA". It matches the Rfam family "Bacterial large subunit ribosomal RNA", at positions 1351 to 1857 of the family's 2925-position model. The record is from RNAcentral. Lineage: Bacteria; Pseudomonadati; Pseudomonadota; Gammaproteobacteria; Enterobacterales; Enterobacteriaceae.